RNAcentral lists this unclassified non-coding RNA (433 nucleotides) under soil metagenome. Its description in RNAcentral is "partial contains 5.8S ribosomal RNA, internal transcribed spacer 2, and large subunit ribosomal RNA". The stretch from base 1 to 120 matches the Rfam family "5.8S ribosomal RNA", at positions 35 to 154 of the family's 154-position model. The record is from RNAcentral.
GAUGAAGAACGUAGCGAAAUGCGACAAGUAAUGUGAAUUGCAGAAUUCAGUGAAUCAUCGAAUCUUUGAACGCAUAUUGCGCUCUCUGGUAUUCCGGAGAGCAUGCUUGUUUGAGUAUCAGUAAACACCUCAACUUCCAUAUCUUUUUUGAAAUGGGAGUUGGACUUGAGUGAUCCCAACGCUUUUCCUCACCGAAAAGUGGCGGGUUACUUGAAAUGCAGGUGCAGCUGGACUUUUCUCUGAGCUAUAAGCAUAUCUAUUUAGUCUGCCUAAAAAACAGAUUAUUACCUUUGCUGCAGCUAACAUAAAGGAGAUUAGUUCUUGUGCUGACUGAUGCAGGAUUCACAAAGACAGGCUUCGGCCGACUUUGUAAACUCGAUCUCAAAUCAAGUAAGACUACCCGCUGAACUUAAGCAUAUCAAUAAGCGGAGGA